GCACAAAGUAUCUCCAGAAAUCAGAAAUGUCUGUGCUUUGGUCGCAAAUUAAGGCGUGCUAAAUUAACAAACAAAUGCUGCUUACUAGCAUCGUUAGGCGACACGAAUACACCAACUGUGGCCAUGGUUUUCAAAGCAGUACAAA
RNAcentral lists this small nucleolar RNA (145 nucleotides) under Drosophila pseudoobscura pseudoobscura. Its description in RNAcentral is "snoRNA:GA29921". The record is from RNAcentral. Lineage: Eukaryota; Metazoa; Arthropoda; Insecta; Diptera; Drosophilidae.